CGCGGCCAUGCCACCCCCCCCGCGGGAGGGUUGGUCUCUUCCACCCCCGCGCCCCCCCGCCCUGCCCCGCCGCAAUGGUCUGUUCCGCGCGGGGAGGGGGAGCUGUAUCCGCGGCUGGAGAUUGGGAAGUGCGUGUCAAGGGAGCGUGUGGGAGUGGCGGGAAUAGCGGGAAAGGCAAAGGCAACCGGUCUAACCGCACAGCUGAGCAAAGCCCCUGCCUCCAAGGCCUCCCCUGAGGGCAGCCCAGGGUGAGCGAUCCCCUGGAGGGGAGGCGCCUCGCAGCGCCCGGGAGCGGGUUGUGUGACGUGGAGAAUCCAGCGGGCAUGCGAGCAGUGCAAAAACACGUGUUAAACUUCAAGGAUUUGUGGGACGAAUAAUGCAAAAUACGUGUUAAACUUCAAGGAUUUGUUGGACUGCCCCUUCCCCCAGCCACCCCCACCCCCAGCUUCGGAGGCGCUGUGUAAAAGCUGCUAAAUCGCCCCUUAACUCCGCAGCGGUCACUUGGGAAAACCCGGGACCUCGAAUGCGGAGCUAAAUUAGGACCGCAGGUGGUACAGUCUGCCAAAUAUUCAAGGGACUGCUGCUGUUUGGAAGGAGGCAAAUGCAGGUUUUAGUCAAAGGCAUGACUGAGUCGUGUGUGCUGGAAGAAACCCCAUGGAGUAAGAGACGAUCAUUGAAGGGAAAGGCUGUUUUUUGGAUCCAGAAGCAUCUGUGACCAGCAGUUUGGAUGAGGAGCAGAAGCAUUAGUGUGAAGGAUGAAAGAUCAUUUAAAAUAUGAAUAAGAUACUUCAAUUCCAGGUAAGCAACCUCAAAUUUCCUCAGAUUUGCUUGCAACAGGAGAAGCACAUGUACAGAUACUUAGCACAGAGCUGCUGAAAAGAGGUAGCUUGUUAAAUUUUCUGCCAUGUUCUAGCUAACUCUGUGUUAAAUGCA
Molecule: long non-coding RNA, 933 nt
Organism: Pseudopipra pipra
Lineage: Eukaryota; Metazoa; Chordata; Aves; Passeriformes; Pipridae
Exons: 3
Source: RefSeq, a predicted model, not a curated record